CGGCGUGCUUAACACAUGCAAGUCGAACGGGUAGCCAAUACCUAGUGGCGAACGGGUGAGUAACGCGUAGAUAACCUGCCUUUAAGUUGGGGACAACAACUCGAAAGGGUUGCUAAUACCGAAUGUUGUUUUUAAAUCGCAUGGUUUUAAAACUAAAGAUUUAUCGCUUAAAGAGGGGUCUGCGUCCGAUUAGGUAGUAGGUAGGUAACGGCUUACCUAGCCGACGAUCGGUAACCGGUCUGAGAGGAUGAACGGUCACAUUGGGACUGAGACACGGCCCAGACUCCUACGGGAGGCAGCAGUGGGGAAUAUUCCACAAUGGGGGAAACCCUGAUGGAGCGACGCCGCGUUGAAUGAAGAAGGGCUUCGGCUCGUAAAGUUCUUUUGCAGUUGACGAAUGUACUAUUAGAUAGUAAGGGACGGUAAACUGCGAAUAAGCCACGGCUAACUACGUGCCAGCAGCAGC
RNAcentral lists this ribosomal RNA (466 nucleotides) under uncultured bacterium. RNAcentral's name for it is "bacterial SSU rRNA". It matches the Rfam family "Bacterial small subunit ribosomal RNA", at positions 40 to 518 of the family's 1533-position model. The record is from RNAcentral.